RNAcentral lists this microRNA precursor (88 nucleotides) under Mesitornis unicolor (brown roatelo). RNAcentral's name for it is "mir-1426 microRNA precursor family". It matches the Rfam family "mir-1426 microRNA precursor family". Lineage: Eukaryota; Metazoa; Chordata; Aves; Mesitornithiformes; Mesitornithidae. The record is from Rfam by way of RNAcentral.
CAGGGUUGACCUUCUUUCCUUAACUCAUGCCGCUGUGCCUUUUCAUUAAUUUCACAAUGGCGUGAGUUGAGCACAGAGUGUCAGUCCU